AAGAGGGUCAACAUUAAAAUGUCUCCCUGCAAGCUAUGUUAUGGGCCUUAAAGACAUUGAAGUCAUUAGGUCCCUGAAAAUGACUACAGGA
Small nucleolar RNA from Vulpes vulpes (red fox), 91 nucleotides. Lineage: Eukaryota; Metazoa; Chordata; Mammalia; Carnivora; Canidae. The record is from Ensembl.